GCCCGGUUAGCUCAAUCGGUAGAGCGUGAGACUCUUAAUCUCAAGGUUGCGGGUAAGUUUAUCCCUGUACUAGACG
Non-coding RNA from Daldinia sp. FL1419, 76 nucleotides. The record is from the annotation of a GenBank genome assembly. NCBI's taxonomy places the organism in Eukaryota, Fungi, Ascomycota, Sordariomycetes, Xylariales, Hypoxylaceae.